This 78-nucleotide transfer RNA is filed under the name Patescibacteria group bacterium. Its description in RNAcentral is "tRNA-Leu". It matches the Rfam family "tRNA". Rfam says of the family: Transfer RNA (tRNA) molecules are approximately 80 nucleotides in length. Their secondary structure includes four short double-helical elements and three loops (D, anti-codon, and T loops). The record is from RNAcentral.
CCGCUGGUGAGGCAAUUGGCAGACCUUCCGGAUUUAAAACCCGGAGUUUUGGCGGUUCGAAGCCGCCCCGGCGGACCA